GGCACAGGAUGUUUUUUCACGAUGGUCUUCAGAUGUCUACUAUAGGCACUGUUGAGAAAAACAGUUGGCAAGGCUGAUGCCAGAAA
Molecule: small nucleolar RNA, 86 nt
Organism: Dipodomys ordii (Ord's kangaroo rat)
Lineage: Eukaryota; Metazoa; Chordata; Mammalia; Rodentia; Heteromyidae
Gene: Snord35b
Product: small nucleolar RNA, C/D box 35B
Source: Ensembl